GGUCAGGCGAGGCGCAAACGUUGUCCGAGGGGGGCGUUACCGAAAUCGGAAUCCAGAAAACGAGAGCCGGAGGUCAGGGAGCCGAGGGUGACGUGGAGGGGAAACGAGAGUGAGGAUCACGGAAGGAAGACACUAGACAGACUACAGGGCUCUGGGGAGGUUCCGCGAUUUGCCUUCUAUCUGGCUGCUCCUCUUACAGCCUGCUGCUGAUUGUUGCAGGUGGAGACAGUGGGCCCUGUCCACAAACCGGGGCUGCUACCAGCCAGACCAGCUUCCCAGCACAAAGAUGCCUCAGGUGUGAGUCUCUGACCUUGGACCUCUUUUGGAAACUCUUUCUCAGAGAUCCUCGCGAUGAUUUUUGGUGUUCUUGUCUUCCUGUUUCUCUCUGAGGAGCUCAGUGCUGCUGAGAUGGGGACCACGCUCAACCUGAAACACAUUGUCAUCGGCCGGUGCUACAGCUAUAUCACACUCGUGAGACCUAACUCGAGGUAAGCAGUGGAGCUGUGGAUAUCACUGGAUCGUCUCAG
RNAcentral lists this long non-coding RNA (527 nucleotides) under Scleropages formosus (Asian bonytongue). Its description in RNAcentral is "lncRNA (ENSSFOG00015026984.1)". The record is from RNAcentral. Lineage: Eukaryota; Metazoa; Chordata; Actinopteri; Osteoglossiformes; Osteoglossidae.